UGCAUUCACUACUGUAAGUUGCUCUGGAUAAGAGCGUCUGCUAAAAAUGACUAAAA
Non-coding RNA from Salmo salar (Atlantic salmon), 56 nucleotides. The record is from Rfam. Lineage: Eukaryota; Metazoa; Chordata; Actinopteri; Salmoniformes; Salmonidae.